This 510-nucleotide ribosomal RNA is filed under the name uncultured bacterium. Its description in RNAcentral is "partial 16S ribosomal RNA". It matches the Rfam family "Bacterial small subunit ribosomal RNA", at positions 28 to 507 of the family's 1533-position model. The record is from RNAcentral.
GACGAACGCUGGCGGCGUGCUUAACACAUGCAAGUCGAACGAAGAGCGAUGGAAGCUUGCUUCUAUCAAUCUUAGUGGCGAACGGGUGAGUAACGCGUAAUCAACCUGCCCUUCAGGGGGGGACAACAGUUGGAAACGACUGCUAAUACCGCAUACGAUCUAAUCUCGGCAUCGAGGAUAGAUGAAAGGUGGCCUCUACAUGUAAGCUAUCACUGAAGGAGGGGAUUGCGGCUGAUUAGCUAGUUGGAGGGGUAACGGCCCACCAAGGCGAUGAUCAGUAGCCGGUCUGAGAGGAUGAACGGCCACAUUGGGACUGAGACACGGCCCAGACUCCUACGGGAGGCAGCAGUGGGGAAUCUUCCGCAAUGGACGAAAGUCUGACGGAGCAACGCCGCGUGAGCGAUGACGGCCUUCGGGUUGUAAAGCUCUGUUAAUCGGGACGAAAGGCCUUCUUGCGAAUAGUGAGAAGGAUUGACGGUACCGGAAUAGAAAGCCACGGCUAACUACGUG